RNAcentral lists this ribosomal RNA (429 nucleotides) under Fusobacteriota bacterium. RNAcentral describes it as "Fusobacteria bacterium partial 16S ribosomal RNA". It matches the Rfam family "Bacterial small subunit ribosomal RNA", at positions 355 to 776 of the family's 1533-position model. The record is from RNAcentral. Lineage: Bacteria; Fusobacteriati; Fusobacteriota.
UGGGGAAUAUUGCGCAAUGGGCGAAAGCCUGACGCAGCGACGCCGCGUGAGGGAUGAAGGUUUUCGGAUCGUAAACCUCUGUCAGAAGGGAAGAAACCGCACUGUGCUAAUCAGCAGUGCCUUGACGGUACCUUCAAAGGAAGCACCGGCUAACUCCGUGCCAGCAGCCGCGGUAAUACGGAGGGUGCAAGCGUUAAUCGGAAUUACUGGGCGUAAAGCGCACGUAGGCUGCUUUGUAAGUCAGGGGUGAAAUCCCACGGCUCAACCGUGGAACUGCCUUUGAUACUGCUUAGCUUGAAUCCGGGAGAGGGUGGCGGAAUUCCAGGUGUAGGAGUGAAAUCCGUAGAUAUCUGGAGGAACAUCAGUGGCGAAGGCGGCCACCUGGACCGGUAUUGACGCUGAGGUGAGAAAGCGUGGGGAGCAAACAGG